This 348-nucleotide unclassified non-coding RNA is filed under the name soil metagenome. RNAcentral describes it as "partial contains 5.8S ribosomal RNA, internal transcribed spacer 2, and large subunit ribosomal RNA". The stretch from base 1 to 120 matches the Rfam family "5.8S ribosomal RNA", at positions 35 to 154 of the family's 154-position model. The record is from RNAcentral.
GAUGAAGAACGUAGCGAAAUGCGAUAAGUAAUGUGAAUUGCAGAAUUCAGUGAAUCAUCGAAUCUUUGAACGCACAUUGCGCCCGCCAGUAUUCUGGCGGGCAUGCCUGUCUGAGCGUCAUUUCAACCCUCAUGCCCCUAGGGCGUGGUGUUGGGGAUCGGCCAAAGCCCGCGAGGGACGGCCGGCCCCUAAAUCUAGUGGCGGACCCGUCGUGGCCUCCUCUGCGAAGUAGUGAUAUUCCGCAUCGGAGAGCGAUGAGCCCCUGCCGUUAAACCCCCAACUUUCCAAGGUUGACCUCAGAUCAGGUAGGAAUACUCGCUGAACUUAAGCAUAUCAAUAAGCGGAGGA